This 442-nucleotide ribosomal RNA is filed under the name uncultured bacterium. Its description in RNAcentral is "partial 16S ribosomal RNA". It matches the Rfam family "Bacterial small subunit ribosomal RNA", at positions 338 to 795 of the family's 1533-position model. The record is from RNAcentral.
CCUACGGGAGGCUGCAGUGGGGAAUAUUGGGCAAUGGGCGCAAGCCUGACCCAGCAACUCCGCGUGAAGGAAGAAGGCUUUCGGGUUGUACACUUCUUUUAAGGGGGAAGAGCAGAAGACGGUACCCCUUGAAUAAGCCACGGCUAACUACGUGCCAGCAGCCGCGGUAAUACGUAGGUGGCAAGCGUUGUCCGGAUUUACUGGGUGUAAAGGGCGUGCAGCCGGAGAGACAAGUCAGAUGUGAAAUCCACGGGCUCAACCCGUGAAAUGCAUUUGAAACUGUUUCCCUUGAGUGUCGGAGAGGUAAUCGGAAUUCCUGGUGUAGCGGUGAAAUGCGUAGAUAUAAGGAAGAACACCAGUGGCGAAGGCGGAUUACUGGACGAUAACUGACGGUGAGGCGCGAAAGCGUGGGGAGCAAACAGGAUUAGAUACCCUUGUAGUC